UACGUAGGGUGCGAGCGUUAAUCGGAAUUACUGGGCGUAAAGCGUGCGCAGGCGGUUUUGCAAGCCGGAUGUGAAAUCCCCGGGCUCAACCUGGGAAUGGCAUUUGGGACUGCAAGGCUCGAGUGCGGCAGAGGAGACUGGAAUUCCUGGUGUAGCAGUGAAAUGCGUAGAUAUCAGGAGGAACACCGAUGGCGAAGGCAGGUCUCUGGGCUGACACUGACGCUCAUGCACGAAAGCGUGGGGAGCAAACAGG
RNAcentral lists this ribosomal RNA (253 nucleotides) under uncultured bacterium. RNAcentral describes it as "partial 16S ribosomal RNA". It matches the Rfam family "Bacterial small subunit ribosomal RNA", at positions 524 to 776 of the family's 1533-position model. The record is from RNAcentral.